This is a non-coding RNA of Myodes glareolus (Bank vole), 465 nucleotides long. Lineage: Eukaryota; Metazoa; Chordata; Mammalia; Rodentia; Cricetidae. The record is from RefSeq and is a predicted model, not a curated record.
GGUUACAUAAUAUGGGAUGCACUGUUCCACCCCAAAACCUAGCAGACAGAAAAGUUCCCUUUGUGCUGAGGGAGCCCCUUCCGCUCCUUCAGCCAAUAGCCUUGAAGAUAGCAGCCCACUUAGGUGUGGUCUCUUUUGCUUUAAAAAGCAGCGAUAGCUCUGCUCUGGCUCUCUUGCUUCCAGCUUCUGCUUCCGGCUGCCAGAUUCUGUACCUGUUCAUUCAGAGGGUUGUUGUCUAGGACAGUGAUCUCCAUCGGCCACAUCAUCAGCCACACUGUCUGGAAGCACUGUCUGCGAAGGCCAGCUCUCCUAAUGAAGCUGCUUUUGGACCCAAAGCCUUGCUUUCCCACUUCAGGCUGGGGUGCAGGGGUCAAGUGUGCUGGUGAGCUGUUAUUCACUUGAUGCAAACUUCGCUGGAACAAGGAAGACGGAGACUCGGUUGACGAAUUGCCUUCAUCAGAUUGG